UGGGGAAUAUUGGACAAUGGGCGAAAGCCUGAUCCAGCCAUGCCGCGUGUGUGAAGAAGGUCUUCGGAUUGUAAAGCACUUUAAGCUGGGAGGAAGGGCAGUAAGCGAAUACCUUGCUGUUUUGACGUUACCGACAGAAUAAGCACCGGCUAACUCUGUGCCAGCAGCCGCGGUAAUACAGAGGGUGCAAGCGUUAAUCGGAAUUACUGGGCGUAAAGCGCGCGUAGGUGGUUCGUUAAGUUGAAUGUGAAAGCCCCGGGCUCAACCUGGGAACUGCAUCGAAAACUGGCGAGCUAGAGGAGGGCAGAGGGUGGUGGAAUUUCCUGUGUAGCGGUGAAAUGCGUAGAUAUAGGGAGGAACACCAGUGGCGGAGGCGACCACCUGGGAUCAUACUGACACUGAGGUGCGAAAGCGUGGGGAGCAAACAGG
RNAcentral lists this ribosomal RNA (429 nucleotides) under Pseudomonadota bacterium. RNAcentral describes it as "Proteobacteria bacterium partial 16S ribosomal RNA". It matches the Rfam family "Bacterial small subunit ribosomal RNA", at positions 355 to 776 of the family's 1533-position model. Lineage: Bacteria; Pseudomonadati; Pseudomonadota. The record is from RNAcentral.